CACGUAGGGCGCAAGCGUUGUCCGGAAUUAUUGGGCGUAAAGAGCUCGUAGGCGGUUUGUUGCGUCGGCUGUGAAAUCCCGAGGCUCAACCUCGGGUCUGCAGUCGAUACGAGCAAACUAGAGUGUUGCAGGGGAGACUGGAAUUCCUGGUGUAGCGGUGAAAUGCGCAGAUAUCGGGAAGAACACCCGUGGCGAAGGCGGUUCUCUGGGACGGUACUGACGCUGAGACGCGAAAGCGUGGGGAGCAAACAGG
Molecule: ribosomal RNA, 253 nt
Filed under: uncultured bacterium
Lineage: Bacteria
Description: partial 16S ribosomal RNA
Rfam family: Bacterial small subunit ribosomal RNA
Source: RNAcentral